CUACUGCCGGCGACCGGCGCACGGGUGAGUAACACGUAUGGAACCUGCCCGCAGCAGGGGGAUAAGCGGAAGAAAUUCCGUCUAAUACCGCGUAACAACGUUGGGGGGCAUCUCCCGAUGUUUAAAGAUUUAUCGGCUGCGGAUGGCCAUGCGGCGCAUUAGCUAGUCGGCGGGGUAACGGCCCACCGAGGCGACGAUGCGUAGGGGUUCUGAGAGGAAGGUCCCCCACACUGGUACUGAGACACGGACCAGACUCCUACGGGAGGCAGCAG
This 272-nucleotide ribosomal RNA is filed under the name uncultured bacterium. Its description in RNAcentral is "partial 16S ribosomal RNA". It matches the Rfam family "Bacterial small subunit ribosomal RNA", at positions 82 to 354 of the family's 1533-position model. The record is from RNAcentral.